Molecule: non-coding RNA, 82 nt
Organism: Phyllosticta citribraziliensis
Lineage: Eukaryota; Fungi; Ascomycota; Dothideomycetes; Botryosphaeriales; Phyllostictaceae
Source: the annotation of a GenBank genome assembly
GGGUUGGUGGUGUAGUAGAAACGCGUGCCGUGGCUACAGUCGCAUCCACGGUAAGUCCCAGGUUCAAUUUCUGGCCAAUCUA